CUGACUGGUCUCACGUACAAUGGCAGAAACCUCGCUGGUGUUACUGCUGAUUUACACUGGUGUAACUGAAAGCAGCACUGGGCUCGUUACCAUGAAAGCAGAAAGUUCUGCAGAGGGAUAGUGAUUGAUCCCAUAUGGGAAACUUGGUGGCUUCCAGCAGUUGUCUCUCCUCUGAAGGAAGAAAACUCCCCUCAGUCCAGUCCUCCACCUGUUACCAGUCCCCGCUGUAGCAGGACACAUGUCCCAAAGAAAGAGAUGAGGCUUUUACCUAGGUGCUCUUUGAGGAUGUCGACCUCCAGGGCUGCUUUCCUGUAUUUCUCCUCCACUUCAUUUUCUGCAGCAAGCGAGUGAAAGAGAGACUGUUAUUGCCGAUCUGACGCAGAGGAUGAGACAAGCUCCAGGAGGUGAGCUGGCGUAUCCCCCCCGCAACUGCAAUGUUUGAAAGCAGUCCAUUGGCCUGUUGGUACAACACGUCGGAUCGGGGAAUGAAAUGGAAUCUUUACAAGGAAUGAACAUCCCCAGAGCAGAAGGUCAACAUGAGGAAAGUUGCCACCGCUGCUAACUUGCAAGCAAUUUCCACUGUUACCAUGGAAUAGUUGAAUUUCCAAGCGGAGGCAGGAGAAAGGAAGGUGCUGCUCUGAGUCAUUUUUCCAGAACAUUCCAAAAGUGGACUUUACAAAGACAGAAGAGAUCCACAUCCCCAGAAAGGACACAAUUUAAUGUAAGCAAGUACUAGGAUGUAAAUAAAUUAUUUAUUCAAACUAA
Mauremys reevesii (Reeves's turtle) is the source of this 765-nucleotide long non-coding RNA. RefSeq lists it as uncharacterized. The record is from RefSeq and is a predicted model, not a curated record. The transcript is spliced from 3 exons. NCBI's taxonomy places the organism in Eukaryota, Metazoa, Chordata, Testudines, Geoemydidae.